GGGACACGUGGUAUCCUGUCUGAAUAUGGGGGGACCAUCCUCCAAGGCUAAAUACUCCUGACUGACCGAUAGUGAACCAGUACCGUGAGGGAAAGGCGAAAAGAACCCCGGCGAGGGGAGUGAAAAAGAACCUGAAACCGUGUACGUACAAGCAGUGGGAGCACAGGUUUACCUGUGUGACUGCGUACCUUUUGUAUAAUGGGUCAGCGACUUAUAUUCUGUAGCAAGGUUAACCGUAUAGGGGAGCCGGAGGGAAACCGAGUCUUAAUUGGGCGUUAAGUUGCAGGGUAUAGACCCGAAACCCGGUGAUCUAGCCAUGGGCAGGUUGAAGGUUGGGUAACACUAACUGGAGGACCGAACCGACUAAUGUUGAAAAAUUAGCGGAUGACCUGUGGCUGGGGGUGAAAGGCCAAUCAAACCGGGAGAUAGCUGGUUCUCCCCGAAAGCUAUUUAGGUAGCGCCUCGUGAAUUCAUCUCCGGGGGUAGAGCACUGUUUCGGCUAGGGGGCCAUCCCGGCUUACCAACCCGAUGCAAACUGCGAAUACCGGAGAAUGUUAUCACGGGAGACACACGGCGGGUGCUAACGUCCGUCGUGAAGAGGGAAACAACCCAGACCGCCAGCUAAGGUCCCAAAGUCAUGGUUAAGUGGGAAACGAUGUGGGAAGGCCCAGACAGCCAGGAUGUUGGCUUAGAAGCAGCCAUCAUUUAAAGAAAGCGUAAUAGCUCACUGGUCGAGUCGGCCUGCGCGGAAGAUGUAACGGGGCUAAACCAUGCACC
RNAcentral lists this ribosomal RNA (777 nucleotides) under Salmonella enterica subsp. enterica serovar Paratyphi B var. L(+) tartrate +. RNAcentral's name for it is "partial 23S ribosomal RNA". It matches the Rfam family "Bacterial large subunit ribosomal RNA", at positions 419 to 1195 of the family's 2925-position model. The record is from RNAcentral. Lineage: Bacteria; Pseudomonadati; Pseudomonadota; Gammaproteobacteria; Enterobacterales; Enterobacteriaceae.